UCACAGUAAACCAAACCUGCUUCGUCAUAAUCUACCUGGUAACACCAAAACAGAAAUCAGUGAUAGGGUGGAUGGAUGGGCUGCGUCAUAUAGUGGGCGGUCUUACACUGUGUGAUAAUUAUUAUUCGCUGCGUACUUUCACUUUAGUUCAGCUCUACCAGCAAAGAGGGGUCAGACGUCGUAACUACAGUAAAAGGAAGGCUCGAAGAAACAACAUGAAGUUUCUUUUGUUCCUGUCCCUGGCAGCUUUCUACUGCGCAGUAGAAUCCAAAUACACUCCACCCAAGGUUCAGGUGUACAGCCGUGACCCAGGGGAGUUUGGAAAGGCCAACACCCUGAUUUGCCAUGUGAGCAACUUCCACCCCCCUGCCAUCUCCAUCCAGCUGAUGAAGGAUGGGGUAGAAAUCCCUGAUGCCUUGCAGACUGAC
This is a long non-coding RNA of Acanthochromis polyacanthus (spiny chromis), 428 nucleotides long. RefSeq lists it as uncharacterized. NCBI's taxonomy places the organism in Eukaryota, Metazoa, Chordata, Actinopteri, Pomacentridae. The record is from RefSeq and is a predicted model, not a curated record. The transcript is spliced from 2 exons.